AUGGAAGGUUUAUCGCUGGCCAUACAACGAUCCGAUCUGCCCAUUGCUAUCGAAUCGGAUUCUAGCUUGGCAGUGUCUAUGGUAUCCUCUGAUGAAGUUGAUCGUUCAAUCUAUGCUGCUCUGGUGAAUGAAAUAAGACUACUGUUGCGUCUUAGACAAACUUGUAUUACUCAUAUUGUGAGAGUCCAGAAUAAAGCUAGUGACAGUUUGGCUAGGUUUGCUCGAGUUGAGGGGCGAACUAUGACAUGGCUGGGGUCUGGACUAGAGGAGGUCUUGGGUAUAUCCCUUGAUGAUUGUAAAGACAUUGUUAUUUGA
RNAcentral lists this ribosomal RNA (315 nucleotides) under Triticum aestivum (bread wheat). Its description in RNAcentral is "partial small subunit ribosomal RNA". Lineage: Eukaryota; Viridiplantae; Streptophyta; Magnoliopsida; Poales; Poaceae. The record is from RNAcentral.